CGACUUACCAACCCGAUGCAAACUGCGAAUACCGGAGAAUGUUAUCACGGGAGACACACGGCGGGUGCUAACGUCCGUCGUGAAGAGGGAAACAACCCAGACCGCCAGCUAAGGUCCCAAAGUCAUGGUUAAGUGGGAAACGAUGUGGGAAGGCCCAGACAGCCAGGAUGUUGGCUUAGAAGCAGCCAUCAUUUAAAGAAAGCGUAAUAGCUCACUGGUCGAGUCGGCCUGCGCGGAAGAUGUAACGGGGCUAAACCAUGCACCGAAGCUGCGGCAGCGACGCUGAUGCGUUGUUGGGUAGGGGAGCGUUCUGUAAGCCUGCGAAGGUGUGCUGUGAGGCAUGCUGGAGGUAUCAGAAGUGCGAAUGCUGACAUAAGUAACGAUAAAGCGGGUGAAAAGCCCGCUCGCCGGAAGACCAAGGGUUCCUGUCCAACGUUAAUCGGGGCAGGGUGAGUCGACCCCUAAGGCGAGGCCGAAAGGCGUAGUCGAUGGGAAACAGGUUAAUAUUCCUGUACUUGGUGUUACUGCGAAGGGGGGACGGAGAAGGCUAUGUUGGCCGGGCGACGGUUGUCCCGGUUUAAGCGUGUAGGCUGGUUUUCCAGGCAAAUCCGGAAAAUCAAGGCUGAGGCGUGAUGACGAGGCACUGCGGUGCUGAAGCAACAAAUGCCCUGCUUCCAGGAAAAGCCUCUAAGCAUCAGGUAACAUCAAAUCGUACCCCAAACCGACACAGGUGGUCAGGUAGAGAAUACCAAGGCGCUUGAGAGAACUCGGGUGAAGGAACUAGGCAAAAUGGUGCCGUAACUUCGGGAGAAGGCACGCUGAUAUGUAGGUGAAGUCCCUCGCGGAUGGAGCUGAAAUCAGUCGAAGAUACCAGCUGGCUGCAACUGUUUAUUAAAAACACAGCACUGUGCAAACACGAAAGUGGACGUAUACGGUGUGACGCCUGCCCGGUGCCGGAAGGUUAAUUGAUGGGGUUAGCGCAAGCGAAGCUCUUGAUCGAAGCCCCGGUAAACGGCGGCCGUAACUAUAACGGUCCUAAGGUAGCGAAAUUCCUUGUCGGGUAAGUUCCGACCUGCACGAAUGGCGUAAUGAUGGCCAGGCUGUCUCCACCCGAGACUCAGUGAAAUUGAACUCGCUGUGAAGAUGCAGUGUACCCGCGGCAAGACGGAAAGACCCCGUGAACCUUUACUAUAGCUUGACACUGAACAUUGAGCCUUGAUGUGUAGGAUAGGUGGGAGGCUUUGAAGUGUGGACGCCAGUCUGCAUGGAGCCGACCUUGAAAUACCACCCUUUAAUGUUUGAUGUUCUAACGUUGACCCGUAAUCCGGGUUGCGGACAGUGUCUGGUGGGUAGUUUGACUGGGGCGGUCUCCUCCUAAAGAGUAACGGAGGAGCACGAAGGUUGGCUAAUCCUGGUCGGACAUCAGGAGGUUAGUGCAAUGGCAUAAGCCAGCUUGACUGCGAGCGUGACGGCGCGAGCAGGUGCGAAAGCAGGUCAUAGUGAUCCGGUGGUUCUGAAUGGAAGGGCCAUCGCUCAACGGAUAAAAGGUACUCCGGGGAUAACAGGCUGAUACCGCCCAAGAGUUCAUAUCGACGGCGGUGUUUGGCACCUCGAUGUCGGCUCAUCACAUCCUGGGGCUGAAGUAGGUCCCAAGGGUAUGGCUGUUCGCCAUUUAAAGUGGUACGCGAGCUGGGUUUAGAACGUCGUGAGACAGUUCGGUCCCUAUCUGCCGUGGGCGCUGGAGAACUGAGGGGGGCUGCUCCUAGUACGAGAGGACCGGAGUGGACGCAUCACUGGUGUUCGGGUUGUCAUGCCAAUGGCACUGCCCGGUAGCUAAAUGCGGAAGAGAUAAGUGCUGAAAGCAUCUAAGCACGAAACUUGCCCCGAGAUGAGUUCUCCCUGACUCCUUGAGAGUCCUGAAGGAACGUUGAAGACGACGACGUUGAUAGGCCGGGUGUGUAAGCGCAGCGAUGCGU
Molecule: ribosomal RNA, 1976 nt
Filed under: Escherichia coli
Lineage: Bacteria; Pseudomonadati; Pseudomonadota; Gammaproteobacteria; Enterobacterales; Enterobacteriaceae
Description: partial 23S ribosomal RNA
Rfam family: Bacterial large subunit ribosomal RNA
Source: RNAcentral